GAUGAAGAAAGCAGCGAAAUGCGAUAAGUAGUGUGAAUUGCAGAAUUCAGUGAAUCAUCGAAUCUUUGAACGCACAUUGCGCCCCUUGGUAUUCCAUGGGGCAUGCCUGUUCGAGCGUCAUUUGUACCUUCAAGCUUUGCUUGGUGUUGGGUGUUUGUCUCGCCUUUGCGUGUAGACUCGCCUUAAAAUAAUUGGCAGCCGGCGUAUUGAUUUCGGAGCGCAGUACAUCUCGCGCUUUGCACUCAUAACGACAGCGUCCAAAAGUACAUUUUACACUCUUGACCUCGGAUCAGGUAGGGAUACCCGCUGAACUUAAGCAUAUCAAUAAGCGGAGGA
RNAcentral lists this unclassified non-coding RNA (336 nucleotides) under soil metagenome. RNAcentral describes it as "partial contains 5.8S ribosomal RNA, internal transcribed spacer 2, and large subunit ribosomal RNA". The stretch from base 1 to 120 matches the Rfam family "5.8S ribosomal RNA", at positions 35 to 154 of the family's 154-position model. The record is from RNAcentral.